RNAcentral lists this ribosomal RNA (253 nucleotides) under uncultured bacterium. RNAcentral's name for it is "partial 16S ribosomal RNA". It matches the Rfam family "Bacterial small subunit ribosomal RNA", at positions 524 to 776 of the family's 1533-position model. The record is from RNAcentral.
UACAGAGGGGGCAAGCGUUGUUCGGAAUUACUGGGCGUAAAGGGCGCGUAGGCGGCCUUCUAAGUCGAACGUGAAAUCCCCGGGCUCAACCCGGGAACUGCGUCCGAUACUGGAAGGCUUGAAUCCGGGAGAGGGAUGCGGAAUUCCAGGUGUAGCGGUGAAAUGCGUAGAUACCUGGAGGAACACCGGUGGCGAAGGCGGCAUUCUGGACCGGCAUUGACGCUGAGGAGCGAAAGCCAGGGGAGCAAACGGG